UCGUAGACUAAAAAAUGGCCGCCACAACAACAGAAAUAUUCUAUAUUGGCGAUCUUUCAUUUAUUAUGGCGUAUUUUAACAAAACCAACUGCCAAUUUCAAGACAGAAGACGACUCUGUGGAAUCUGCAACCCGGUGAGUAAAUUAACAAAUCGUUAAGACGCCGUUUUGACUAAAUUUUCAGGGGACGCAACCUCGCGCCAACUGUCAAAAUGUUUUGAAAAACAAAAUGCUCUUAUUUCGAUGCAUUUCAAGAGUUUUGUUGUGAUAAGAACACUGGAAUAUAGACUGAAAUACUAUCCAACCAUUAGACUCAUGAUCUUGACAUGGAUCCAAGAUGCUGGUAACUAGGCGGGACGGAUUGUUACACAGAACUGCAGGUUUCUGGAUGGAGACUCAGCGCCAUGUCACAAAUACUUCAGAACCUAGAAUGAAAGUUACUGAAAGAGCAAUAGAAUUUCCAAUCUCUACAAAAUUCAUCUUAGCUGUUUUUCAAGGUGAUACUUGAGACUACCAAAGACUUUUCAAGGACAUAAUUCACAAAACAGUUUAUGCCACCAUCUCAUAUCAAAGGAUUGUGCUUGAGUUGAACAGCCUUCAAACAGAAACUGUUUCAACACCUUCAAUGGAUUCAUUCUGAUUCAGUUUACCCUUGCUGUGAUCUGAGCAACUAUUUACAUCAAUUCAACAUUGUAAAUUGUUUAAACUUGAAAAUUCUGUCUUGGUGCAACUCACAUGAAUCUGUUGACUUUGAUGUUGACUCUAUACAGGAAGAAGAGACCAUCUUUAUACAUGCUGGCAUAUCUUUUAAAAGGGAAACAAAUAUUAUAACCAACAUACUACACUGUUAUGUCAUCCAAGGACUCAGCCACUGACUCAAUUUAUAAAUACUUCAAAGGAAAAAUGUCUCUGUCAAUAUAAUUACUGCUGUGCAUAAUAAGACAUUUUCAGCUCUACUAUUCGAAGAAUAAGGAGAGCUAUACUACUCACCCAAGUGUCGGCGGCGGCUUCACCCCUUGGUUAAGGUUUUGCGUGCAAGCACACAUAGGUUAAUAUCUCAGCAACUACUUGAGGUAUUGCAUUCAGACUUUAUACAAUGGUACUCAACCAUCCAACCUACAUAAUUAAUCAAGUUUGAUAACUCUACUUUGCAUUUAAUGCCAAUAAUAGACCUUUAUUAUUUGACUUAGAAAUUCUGGUUAAGGUUUUGCGUGCAAGCACACAUAGGUUAAUAUCUCAGCAACUGCUUGAGGUAUUGCAUUGAGACUUGAUACAAUGGUACUCAACCUUCCAACCUACUUAAUUUACCAAGUGAGAUAACUCUAGUUUGCAAUUAAUGCAAAUAAUUGCCCUUUAUUAUUCGACUCAUAAAUUCUGGUUAAGGUUUUGCAUGUAAGCACACUUAGGUUAAUAUCUCAGCAACUACUUGAGGUAUUGUAUUGAGACUUUAUAAUAUGGUACUCAAUCAUCCAAUCUACUUAAAUAACCAAGUAAGAUAACUCCAGUUUGCAUUAAAUUCAAAUAAUGGCCCCUUUUUUAUUCAACAUAGAAAUUCUGGUUAAGGUUUUGCAUGUUACCACUUUUAAGUCAAUGCUUCACCAAAUACAUCAUGUAUAGCAUUGAAACUUUACACACAGGCUCCCAACCAUUUAACCUUCUUAUUUAAUCAAGUAAGAUAACUCUAUCUUUCAUAUUAUUUAAUUGUUGCCCCUUUAUUAUGCGACUUAGAAAUUCUGGUAAAGGUCUUGCAUGUUAGCACACAUAGGAUAAUAUCUCAGCAACUACUUGAUGUAUUGCAUUGAGACUUUAUACAAUGGUAUUCAACCACCCAACCUAAUUGAAUAAUCAAGUUAGAUAACUGUGUUUUGCAAAUAAUUGCCCUUUAUUAUUACACUUAAAAAUUCUGGUUAAAAUUUUGCAUGUAACCACAUAUAUGUUAAUAUCUCCGCACGUCAUGUAUUGCAUUGAAAUCUAAUCUAACAGUGAUACAUGCAUGUUUCGCCAAAACUUUUCAAUCCUUACACUGAAAAGCGGCAGAAUAGUCGAGCGCGCUGUCUCUGUGACAGCUCUUGUUUAUUAUGCACCCCUUCGAAGAAGAGGGGUAUAUUGCUUUGCACAUGUCGGUCGGUACCGUCUACCGUCUGUAGACCAAAGCUUGUCCGAGUGAUAACUCAACAAUUCCUGGACGUAUGGUCAUCAAACUUGACAUGAAGGUUGGGCCUGACCAGUAGAUGAUUUUAGGGCUCAUCAGGUCAAAGGUCAAGGUCACAGUGACCUUGAAUGGUAAAUUAAUUUUAAAGCUUGUCCGAGUGAUAACAAUGCCAAGACCUUUCGUCAUCAAACUUGAUAUGGAAGUUGGGCCUCACCAGGAGUUGACACCUAUUGGUUUUGGAGAUCAUCGAGCCAAAGAUCAAGGUCACAGUGACCUUGAAUGGUAAAAGGUUGUCCAAGUGAUAAAUCAACAAUGCCUGCCCCCAUGGCCCUCAAACUGGACUCGGAGGUCGGGCCUUACCAGUAGAUGACCCCUAUUUAUUUUAGGGGUCAAAGGUCAAGGUCAAAGUGAUCUUGAAAGCAAACUCGACAAUUCCGGGACCAAUCAUGCCAUUCAGUCUGAAUGGUCAUCAAACUUGACAUAAAGGUUGGGCCUGACCAGUAGAUGACCCCUCUUGACUUUGAGGGUCAUCAAGCCAAGGUCAAGGUCACAAUAACCUUUAAUGCAAAAAAGAUAACAAAUCCUCUCUCAGGGAUAUCUCAACAAUGCCUGAACCUAUGAUCAUCAAACUUGACAUGGAAGUUGGUCCUGACAAGGAGAUGAUGCUUAUUGAUUUUAGGAGUCAAGUUCACAGUGACCUUGAAUGCGAAAAUGUUUCGAGUGAUAUCUUGACAAUGCCUGUACCCAUGGCCCUCAAACCUGACUUGAAGUUGUGUCUGGCCUGUAGAUGAGUCCCUUUCAUUUUAGGGGUCAUCGUGUCAAACGUCAAGGUCACAGUGAUAUUGAUUGAAAAAAGCUUGUCUGUGUGAUAACAUGUCAAUUCCUGAACCCAUGUCCCUCAAACUUGACAUUUAGAUUUUUGUAGACCAGCUGAUGACUCAUAUGGAUUUUGAGGUCAUAGAGUCAAAGGUCAUGGUCAUAACACACUCUAUCCUCACACUUUGAAUGGUCAUAAUCUUAAAACUGCCUCAACGGCAUCCAAUGUCAGUGACCAAUCAGCUGUCAUUUCGGUCCAUGCUUAUUUCAUUCAAUUGUUCAUAUAAUCCUGACAACAUGGCGUUCAGGUGGGGGCAUAAUGUUUGACAAACAUCUCUUGUUGAUACUUGGCUCAUUUCUUACAUGUAGCUGUAACAUUUUGGGCAACUUCUCAAUUAUUUUGUUUAAGACAUUUUUCAUCCAGCUCAUCUAAGCCUAAGUUAGUGUUCAUGUUAACUUUUAUGACUGCCUGUUUAUUGUACUUUUUAUAAAUCAUUUUUAAUGACUUUUUCUCAAGAACCAUUUGGCUAAGUAUGUCUCCUCCUGAAAUAGACUAAUUUUUUUAGCUCCAGUUGUCUGCCUGUCCGUCUGUAACAAAUUGUGUCUGCUCCAUGUCUCUUUAACCUUUUAAAGGAGUUGAUAUAACUUCCCACAAAUGUACACCAUAUUGAGAGGAAGGGUUUAUUAUUAUAACUGUUGAGCAGUUUCUGAACUUGACUGUAUUAUAUCUUGCAUUUACCUUAAGCUGUUAAGUGAACAAUAUAACAUUGACCAAUACAAGGAACUAAACCUUCUAGGUCACCAUUUUGGAAUAAAGUAAUACUUAAAGCUCAUAUUUCCAUAGAAAUCUGCUCAUAUACAGUUUAAAUAGCUUAAACAAGUAUAUCAUUUCAACAUAACAUCAGAUCCUCCACUGUUUUAUGUUUGCAACAUUUUUUUUUAAACUUUGAUUUAUAUAUCAAGACUUUUAUGAACAAAUACCAAACAGCAACUCACAGAUCUAUACUCAUUUGGGCAGAAUUUUGUUAAUCCAAGCAUUGUCAUUUGAUAUUCAAUGCAUUUUUGCAAAUUGGGGCAUUUUCUGUCACAUUAAAAUCAAUAUUAAGUUAUUAACAUUAAAGCUCCAACUUCAAUAUUCUCAUUUUUGUGCCCAUUCUUUGCCAAUUAUUUGUUUGUCUGUUGGUAUACAUGUAUGUUUAUUCAUACUGUUUUUCAAAAUAACGAAUUAAUAAAAUGUUUGAAAUAUUUUAUUUGUUCAUAACUUAUUUAAUAUAACAAAAAGAUGACUGCAUUUUGU
This is a long non-coding RNA of Mya arenaria, 4264 nucleotides long. RefSeq lists it as uncharacterized. NCBI's taxonomy places the organism in Eukaryota, Metazoa, Mollusca, Bivalvia, Myida, Myidae. The transcript is spliced from 3 exons. The record is from RefSeq and is a predicted model, not a curated record.